RNAcentral lists this ribosomal RNA (468 nucleotides) under uncultured bacterium. RNAcentral describes it as "partial 16S ribosomal RNA". It matches the Rfam family "Bacterial small subunit ribosomal RNA", at positions 28 to 507 of the family's 1533-position model. The record is from RNAcentral.
GACGAACGCUGGCGGCGUGCUUAACACAUGCAAGUCGAACGGAAAGGCCCUGCUUUUGUGGGGUGCUCGAGUGGCGAACGGGUGAGUAACACGUGAGUAACCUGCCCUUGACUUUGGGAUAACUUCAGGAAACUGGGGCUAAUACCGGAUAGGAGCUCCUGCUGCAUGGUGUGGGUUGGAAAGUUUCGGCGGUUGGGGAUGGACUCGCGGGUUAUCAGCUUGUUGGUGGGGUAGUGGCUUUCCAAGGCUUUGACGGGUAGCCGGCCUGAGAGGGUGACCGGCCACAUUGGGACUGAGAUACGGCCCAGACUCCUACGGGAGGCAGCAGUGGGGAAUAUUGCACAAUGGGCGGAAGCCUGAUGCAGCAACGCCGCGUGCGGGAUGACGGCCUUCGGGUUGUAAACCGCUUUCGCCUGUGACGAAGCGUGAGUGACGGUAAUGGGUAAAGAAGCACCGGCUAACUACGUG